UACAGGGGGGGCAAGCGUUGUUCGGAAUUACUGGGCGUAAAGGGCUCGUAGGUGGCCAACUAAGUCGGACGUGAAAUCCCUCAGCUUAACUGGGGAACUGCGUCUGAUACUGGAUGGCUUGAGUUUGGGAGAGGGAUGCGGAAUUCCAGGUGUAGCGGUGAAAUGCGUAGAUAUCUGGAGGAACACCGGUGGCGAAGGCGGCAUCCUGGACCAACACUGACGCUGAGGCGCGAAAGCUAGGGGAGCAAACAGG
This 253-nucleotide ribosomal RNA is filed under the name uncultured bacterium. Its description in RNAcentral is "partial 16S ribosomal RNA". It matches the Rfam family "Bacterial small subunit ribosomal RNA", at positions 524 to 776 of the family's 1533-position model. The record is from RNAcentral.